RNAcentral lists this ribosomal RNA (1235 nucleotides) under metagenome. RNAcentral's name for it is "bacterial SSU rRNA". It matches the Rfam family "Bacterial small subunit ribosomal RNA", at positions 114 to 1353 of the family's 1533-position model. The record is from RNAcentral.
CACGUGUGCAACCAACCCCGUACCGGGAGAUAACCCGCGGAAACGUGGACUAACAUCCCAUGACACUCGAGGGCCGCAUGGCUCUAGAUUUAAAAUUCCGGUGGUACGGGACGGGCACGCGCGACAUUAGGCAGUUGGCGGGGUAACGGCCCACCAAGCCGACGAUGUCUAGGGGUUCUGAGAGGAAGGUCCCCCACACUGGAACUGAGACACGGUCCAGACUCCUACGGGAGGCAGCAGUGAGGAAUAUUGGUCAAUGGGCGAGAGCCUGAACCAGCCAAGUCGCGUGAGGGAAGAAUGGUCUAUGGCCUGUAAACCUCUUUUGUCAGGGAAGAAUAAGGAUGACGAGUCAUUCGAUGCCAGUACUUGACGAAUAAGCAUCGGCUAACUCCGUGCCAGCAGCCGCGGUAAUACGGGGGAUGCGAGCGUUAUCCGGAUUUAUUGGGUUUAAAGGGCGCGUAGGCGGGACGUCAAGUCAGCGGUAAAAGACUGCAGCUAAACUGUAGCACGCCGUUGAAACUGGCGCCCUGGAGACGAGACGAGGGAGGCGGAACCAGUGAAGUAGCGGUGAAAUGCAUAGAUAUCACUUGGAACCCCGAUAGCGAAGGCAGCUUCCCAGGCUCGUUCUGACGCUGAUGCGCGAGAGCGUGGGUAGCGAACAGGAUUAGAUACCCUGGUAGUCCACGCCGUAAACGAUGCUCACUGGAUCUUGGCGAUACACGGCCAGGGUUCAAGCGAAAGUAUUAAGUGAGCCACCUGGGGAGUACGUCGGCAACGAUGAAACUCAAAGGAAUUGACGGGGGCCCGCACAAGCGGAGGAACAUGUGGUUUAAUUCGAUGAUACGCGAGGAACCUUACCCGGGUUUAAAUGUAGAUUGCAUGAGGUGGAAACACUUCUUCCCUUCGGGGCUAUUUACAAGGUGCUGCAUGGUUGUCGUCAGCUCGUGCCGUGAGGUGUCGGGUUAAGUCCCAUAACGAGCGCAACCCCUAUCGCCAGUUGCCAUCGGUUCAAGCCGGGCACUCUGUCGAGACUGCCACCGUAAGGUGCGAGGAAGGCGGGGAUGACGUCAAAUCAGCACGGCCCUUACACCCGGGGCGACACACGUGUUACAAUGGCCGGUACAGAGGGCAGCCACGGGGUGACCCGGAGCGAAUCUCUAAAGCCGGUCGUAGUUCGGACUGGAGUCUGCAACCCGACUCCACGAAGUUGGAUUCGCUAGUAAUCGCGCAUCAGC